GUCGUGGCUAUAUUUAUUGUCUCUCCCUGCCAACCUCAGCCUGGCUUCAUAUAGAGCAGAGGGCCCGGGAGGCUGAGCCUGUGAGAAAUGCAAAUUCUCGGCUCCACCUCAGACAUUCGCAAUCAGAACCUCUGGCCUGGGGACUGGGCGCUCUGUGUGAGCGAUUUCUUGGGAGACUUGCAUCUCGGCCAGUCUGAGAGCGCCCAUCUGGAGAUCCUAACGUGUGACUCGCCCCCCGACACUCACCUUGCUCUCUCCCUGCCCCGCCUCAUUCCUGGAACAGUCCGCGCUGCAGGUGUGGGAAGAAAGUAAGAAGCUUCUGAAAGAAUUUUCCAAAUUAACUCAAAUUGCCAGUGGUCUGCUUCUGUCUCCUGACGACAUCUUCCUUGGAAGAAGACUAAGGUUCUUGAUUUCCUUCUACUCGAAGGUACUUACUUUUCAGAAGGACUUUGUACCUCCUAUCAGUGAUAAUUCUUUCAGCUGCAAGUGACAAGAGAUCUGAUCUAAACAGGCGUAAGCAAAAAAGGGAAUAUGCUGUCUGGUAUAACCAAGCAGUCCAGAGCAGAGCAGGUAUGGCUUCAGGUAUGACUUUAUUCAAGCCUCAGAUGACACUACCUCAGGCCACGUUGUCUCUUCUUUUCAUGGGUCUCCUCCUACAUACACGGUGGGCUCUCCCUUUGCAAGAUGAUUGUCAACAGCUCUCAAGGUGAGGGUCUCCUGGUUUCCAAUACAGCAGAAAAAAGGUAAGAUCUUUGGCUUGGCAUUCCCAGGCAAAGUCUCAUUGCAUCUCAUGGUCUUUGAGCCUGUCCCUGAACCAAUCAUAUGGCCAGGGCUAGAUGAUAUGCUGAUUGGUUUAGACCCAGGUCCUGUGAUCCACUCCAAGCCAGUCAACUCCCCCCGAAGCCAAUGGACUGAGCCUGCGGGACUGGAUGAUCUGUGGGGGGAUCUGGGGACAGUCACCCGGAGAAAAGAGAGGCUGGACAGCCAAAGCAGCAGAUCUCUGUUGCUGACUAGCCACACUUUCAUAGACAAGACAGACUAGAGGAAAUGGUGGAAUGGACAUUAUUUCUAAGGAAUCCUAUAAAUAUGUUCACACUUUCUUUUGAGGUAGAUUUAGCCAGAAGUAUAAGUUUCCCAACUGGCAUAUCAUCAAAAUUACUGGGGGAUUUUGAUUCAAUAGGUUUGGGAUGGGACUCUCUGAGUGUCAUAACUCUGAUUAUUUUUAAGAUGAUCCCAGGUGAUUUGGAAGACCAAAUGGAGUUGGGCAUCCUCUGGUGCACCCCUGUUUUUGGCAGGGCCAGCUCCAGCAAAGGGGUGAAGUAGGCCAGCUUGUCUGUCUGACCUCUGUCCCCACUGCCUGCAGAGUCAAGCCCAGCGCUCUCAGCCUCCUGCGGUCUGGACUCAUGCAGCCUUUCUGGUUUAUCUCUUGCUGUUCCUCGACACGUACUUUUCAUUUGUCAGACUGGAAAAGUCGCUUACCCAAAAAUGCUCUGUUCCUUUCCCACUCUCCUGUCCUUGCUUAUGUCAUUUUCUUCUGAAAGUCCUCAUUUUCUACCUGUUGAAAUCCUAACCAUUAUUGAAAACUCAUCUCAAAUUCAUCCUCUUUGAAGUCUUUGCUGAUCACCCAGCCGGGAGCAAACUCCUACCCUAGGUCCACAUCUCGUAGGUUCUGUCUUGCACUGCAGUGUUUCUGUGUGGGCUUCACUUCCCCUUUCAAAACAAUAAGCCCCUGGGGGACAGGGACUGUGCUGUCCCUUGAGUCCUGGAUCUUCAAAGGUCCUACUAUAGUGUUUUAUUUGUAGGAGGCAUUCAAUUCAUUUCUGUUGUUUGGAUCAAAGUAGAGUGAAUGGAACCCUCAGAUCGCCCCUUCCUUCCUCCUUCUCUCUGCUUUGGCAUUUAAUCUUUACCAAGAUGUCUGUCCUUGGAAAGCUCGAAUGAAGUCCAGCCUAAUUUGUUGACAAGGCCUUGAGAUGUUACUUCUGCAGGGUUGCUUAUGUUUUAAGAGGAGGUUGCUGGAAGACAAAAAAUGUUAAAGUUGUAAUGGUAAACAGAAGCAGAAGGAGAGACCGGGGUACAGAAUUCAGGGACUCUCUCCUUUGUGAGAGCUCCUUCGUUUCCCGAAUUAGCUCUAUUACAAAGUGAGGGCAGAUGCACAUGACAAUGAAAAUACUAGACUAAAACUUAGGAGGACAGAUAGAGAUUCCUUUUUAAAUAAGAUAGGAAACCCAGAAAUCAUUUUAAAAGCAAAAAAUUUGUAUGGAUUUGACUACCCAAAAAAUUAGAAAUAUCUGCAGGGUGAAAAUAUACCUUAAACGAAGUUAAUAAAUGACAGAAGAAAAGAUUGAUAAUAUUUAUAACCACAAAAGUUUACUACUUGAUAAAUUUUUACAAUUUAUUUGAGAAAGCUAAUAUCCCAACAGAAAAACAAGCAAAGGAUACAAACAGGUGAUUUAUAGAAGAAGAAAUACAAAUGGGCAGAGGGUCAGAAAAGAUGCUGAGUCUCACUGUAGGUAGGGAAACAAAAGUGAAAUUAACCAGAUGUCAGUUUUUAGCCAUUCAAUUUGCAAAAUUUGAAACAAUCCAUAACAUCCAGAGCUGGGAGGGUUGGUGAAAUUGGCUUCUUAUGCAUUGCCGAUGCGGGUAUGAGUUGCUAUAAAUGUUUACCAAAGUCGUUUGGAAACAUCUAUAAAAUAAGUGAUGUUUAUAGACUAUGAUUGAACCACUAAUCCUAUUUCUAGAGAUCCAAGAUAUAGCUUACAAAAUGAAAAUACCAGGAUGUAAGACUACAGGUAUAAAGAUUAUUUCAGGUUUGUUUGAAGUGGCGACAAGAAAAAGAAAUGCUGAAUAUGAUCUCAUCAUAAUAUCACGAAGCUAAUAAGAAGAAUGAUUUAGAUCUCGUAGUAUGUGGAGGGGGUGAUGAGGAUGAUAUAUAUUAUAUUACAGAUUGGAAUAUCACUUUUAUGAAAAAGUGAUAGAGAAAGAAAACCCCUUCCAUAUGUGUUUAUAUUUCUGAUGUUUAUGAAUCUGUAGAGAAAGGUGUGAAGGUUGCAUACCAAACUGAGUACAUUGUUAACUUAGGGGGAUAGGAUUAGAACUGGGGAGGCAGGCCUGCCCUUAGCAUUGAGAGCUGGUGGGCCCGAGGAGAGAGGACAAAUGGAUGCUUGGCCUUGUCUGCUCCCCUGUUCUUCGUGCUAGCUCCCUUGUGUACCUGAAGAGACCUCAUGCACACAUGUGUUGGCACUGCAGUCUGCCUGCUCCCCACAAAUGCUCCUGGAGUGUAGGGGUGCACUCACCCCGAGCCAGUCUGCCUUUGGGAGGACAAGGCCCAGAGGAGGCCCACUCUGGCGUUGAAAGUGGGCUUGAGGCCAUUCAAGCAGGAAAUUCUAGUAUCCCUGCGCCCUAGAGUGCCGUCUAGAAGGAGACUCACACACUCUGGGUGGGUACAUAUCCUUGGUCCUGGAGACUCCUUGUUCCCCUGGUAAGGCUCAGCCUUCUAAAGCAGAGUGCUCAGGGCAGAGGCCCCAGUGGACCAUGUCUAAGGAGGAGAGGAACAGGGCAGUAGGGAAGAUAAUUAAAUAUUCUUCUUUAUGUAUAUCUAAAUUGUUCACCUAUUACCAUAAACAUUCAGGAAUUGAAAAAAAAAAUUUAAAAAGUGUCCCCUUAAACAUUUUAGGCUGAAAACCGAAAAUCUAACAGAGAAAAAGACACCCAGAUAAAUUAAUCUCUAACGGAGAAACAUCAGGCGCCAUGUGAGCGUGUAGGUAGGAGAAAGAGCUGAGAGCAACCACUAUUUCCUCCCACCUCCUGACUCCGUCUUGCCAUCCUAAUGUGUUGAUUUCCUGUAAAGCCAAGGGGCGUCCAAGGCAGGGAGUCAAGCACACAUACCUACAUGCACAUUUUGAGGGGAAGGUGUCCAUUAGGUUUCUCCAUCCAUCAAAUAUUUACUGAGGGCUCCUAUGUGUCAGGCACUGUUUCUGGUGCUGCGAAAACAGCAAAGAAUAAAAUAACAAAGAUCCCUGCCCUUAUGGGGAUAGACAUUAAACAAGAUAAAUACAAAAGAUGGUGUUAAAAAGCGCUAAAAAUAAAACCAGGAGAAAGUAAGGGGAGAGCAGGGAGGCAGUUUGACAUGGCAUGGCCAGCAAGUUCUUACUGUGAUGAACUAUGAAUCCAGAUUUGUAGGAAAUGAGGGGACCAGGCUUGGGUCAGGGAAGAAAACCAACUGAAGCGCCAGAUUUGUGCAGCUCACUCUUUUUCCCCUGGAAUUGAUUCAACAACAAGCCAGACAUGAAAAAACAUGGAGGAAACUUAUCUGCAUAUUGGUAGGUGAAGGCAGCCAGUCCAAAAAGACUACAUAUUGUACAAUCCCAGUUAUAUGACAUUCUGUAACAGGAAAAACUAUAGAGACAGUAAAAAGAUCAGUGGUUGGAGGGGAGAGGGAAGACAGAUGAACAGGUGGAGCCAGGGGACUUUCUGAGUAGUGAAAUAUUCUGCAGGAUACUGUAAUGGUGGCCACUUGAGCACACAGAUUGAACCUUAACGUACGGAAAGUAAUGAAAAAAUCAUUGAGAAGGUCAGAGGAUCCCAGGAAGGAAUGCAGACUGUGACAAGAGAUUCUAACUAUAUUGAACAUGUGUGAAACACCCUCACUGAAGGGAGCAGGGGAAAAGGUGCUACUCUAAAUAAUACUGGAAAUGAGUAGAAUCUGUAAGACUAAAAGGCAAAAGGAACUGUAUAUAAGCACUGUGCUCUAGUUGAUAAACUUGUUUCCCACAGUGUUGCAGGUUAACAAUACUGAUGCUACUAGACACGUCUACUGGAACUGAACGUGAAAUACACGGAUGGUGGAUGGUAGGAACCAGGUCUCUCACUUUUGGAGUGAGAAUUUACAGAGAAGCAAGGGGAGGAGGCUAGAAUGAUCUAUGUGGUAAUAAAUUAGAGUUGGAGACAUCAGUGAAAAAUCAUGUUUAAUUUAACAUAGAUGCAGAUAGUUACAUAAAGGAAUAUUUAUGGGUAUGUGAUAUGCAUGGGUUGGUAGACCCACAGAUAUUUCUUUGUUCUGUCAGCUGACAGGGCCUAAAACAAAAGGAAAAAGGAGAAGAUACCCUAGUAUCAGCGAGCACAACUCGUGACAGAUCUUGAUUUCUAAUGCCAUUCUCCAAUAAAUGGAACCAGGGCUCCUUAGAGAAAUAGGAUUGGGGCAGGAAAUAUACAAGAUGAGCCCGAGGCAUCUUAUAAUGCCAGAAAGUAAGGAAGUGCUCCCCCUUCAAAAAAAAACUGAUGGGGAUGUGUCAAAGGGGCACAGGAGACAGCUAAAAGAACCCCAGCGGCUAACGCUGGAACAAUUUGGGCUACAAAAUAAAGUACUAUUGGAUUAUAACCCAAAGUAUAAAAUAAAUAUCCAUGAGUCCAUACUGAUAUAAAUAAAUGAUUGAAUAAAUAAAUAAGUCGGGGAGGAUAGACACAUCUCCAUGCAGAAGAAUACUUCACCCUCAGGGAGUUGGAGCAGAACUGUCCACAUAAGGUCCAACCUCCUUCCAAAGCGUAGAGUAUGGAAAAGGGGCAAAAAGAGACAUUACUGUGAAUUGCCAGGGCCUCCCCGGGGGUGGGAUGCAAGGAGAGGCCAAUAAUUUAGGGAGCCUUUCUCUCCAGUGUAGGGGUCGAGUCCCACUAACCUCGUGUCUGUCGGCCCUUGAUACAUGUGUGCCUGGGAUGCGGCAGGACCGGCACACCCUGCCUACUGAGGAGAUACAAGCAGCUGUGGCCCUGAAGGCAGAGCGGCUGAGACAGUGGACGUGGGAAUGAAUGGCCACUGAAUCUCUUGACCUAGAAUUGUGCUCCUAGAGAAGGCUUUCCACCUUCCCCCCGGGGCCCAUUCAUUGAGGACGACUUGGGUACUUUGGUGGCAAGCAACAGAAGUGGAUUCUGCUACCUUAAUGAAGAAAAAAAGAAGAUUAGCCCUGAGCUAACAUGUGCUGACAAUCCUCUUCUUUCUACUGAGGAAGACUCAGCCCUGAGCUAACAUCCGUGCCCAUCUUCCUCUACUUUAUAUGUGGGAGGCCUCCACAGCAUGGCUUGGCAAGUGGUGGCUGGGUCUGCACCCAGGAUCCGAACCAGCAAACCCUGGGCCGCUGAAGCAGGACAUGCAAACUUAACCGCUGCACGACCAGGCCAGACCCUUUUCCUACUUUCUUUUAAAUCUUUUUUUUAAAAUUUAAAUUUAUCUGACUUUGUGUCCUAAAUACAUCCCAAUGGGUUCCUGUGUAGUGGUGUGCCCCUCUGCCUUACGUCCACAUCCUCAUUUUCCUAUCUUGUAUCACUGCCUCUCCUUUUCUCAUCUCCCUUUCUCUUCUUCUCUCUCCUGCCUCCAUUAUUCCAGGCCCCUCUGGAGCACAAUCAUUUCUCUAGGGAGUAUUGGUGGUGAUCAGAGAAUCACAGAGAAGUAGAGGGACCCACAGGCUUUCACUUCCAUUGUUAGAGCAGAAAUAGAUGCUGAGGGGAAAGGAACUGGGCAUCAGGCUCCCAGGACAACUUAAAGGGCAGUGCCUUUAAGGGGGUGGAGGGGGCUCCGCUCACCGAGCAUCUGGAUCUUGCCUGCUGAGCUCAGUUAGUGCUCUCUGAGCCUCUGUGAGAGCUCGCAGAUGCCCACAGGUGAUAUCAUUAGUCCUCGUGUUGGAGGAUUGGGGCAGGCAGAAAAUGGUGGCAUUUGGAGCUUCCAAUAGAGGGCCUGCACUUUGCACGUCCAGGGGAGUUGUACUCUGAUCAGAUUAGGAGGAAAUGUAAAGGCACCUGGUAACAACGCUGUUUGUUAUAGGGCAGAAAUCAGUGCAAAUCAGGCUGGCCCUGGCUCUCUGCCAAAGGAUUUUAUUUCCUGAAUCACGAAAACCAUUUCCCCUUGAGACUGUGCCAUGGCCCCAACCUCCAGCACAGAACUGCAGCGAGGCUCCAAGGCCACUGCCCUUUGGGCCGCACUUGUGGUGCUAACUUUGUUCCACUUAGGGGCUUCCUGAGCCUUGCUGCAGAACACCCCUAAUUGCACUGGGCUAUCUUUCCCUGGACCACAGCAGUCUGAGGUGCUGCUGCUUCAGCGAAUGUCCAGUGCCUGGCUGAUGGGGCCUGGAGUCAUGUCCCAGGGGGGCUGGCUGCACAUGUGUGGUGGAAGGACCCACAGCCAUCCAGAGUGGAGGCUGGAUGCUUGGGGACACUGGGAGAAGACAGGGUGCAGCAGACCCACAGUGGGUGGUGGAUCCUUUUGGGAUUUCUGUCCCACGGUCUCAGGAGCACGCACCGUUCGAUUCCUUGGCUCGCUGCAUCCUUGGGUGGGUAAUCCGAGUCCUGCAGGGCUGGUAGCUGCAGCCACGAAGCCAGGGUUGCUCUGUUUUUUCUCAACAGUUAGCAUGUCCCAGCUCUUCUUCAAUGUCAAAAUGUUUUCCCGUGAACACCAGGGCUAGCAUUUCCCCGCCCUAUCAGCCCUAGCAACCAGAAGCCCAGUUUCCAGGAAAGCAGCCACUUGAUCCAACCUGGUGGAACCCACUCCCCAGCUCAGCAACUCACAUGGCAUUUACGCCCCAGUGCUCCACAGCAGAGUGUUUUUUUAGCUGCGGCCACAUGACAUCAUUUCCAACUGGCCAGCCUUCCUCCUGCUCCCCCACACAGCAGCCCUCCGCCCCCAGCCUUUCUCCUCUGCACAGUCCAGGGUGGUAGUUUGUGGAGGGGUGGGAAUGCGUUGGGCUUUUUUUGAGGGGCUAAUUCCCUUUGUUUCUCGAAAUAUCCCAGCCCUGGCUGCUCUCAUCCCUUCCCUGGGUAGAGAGAGCGUGGCUGGGGCUCCAGGAAUGCACGACUGCUCGCUGAGACAGGGCUCUCGCUGAGCCUGGGGGGCCGAGAUGGGUGGCCCUGAGGAAGACCCUUCCCUUCAGUGGGGCGCCUCCCUCUCUGGUGUGAAAUGGAAAUGCUGUUUCUCUGAACCCUGCAUCCUGUGAGAUGCUUGAAAAAAAUAACAGUGAUGCUGACAUGUGAUUGUUAGGUGCCUCCCACGCCUGGCAAUUGUCUUUGAGUACAUUUGGUGGUACUUUGGUGAGCCACGAAAAAGCAAGCCUGUGUCUUGUGAUAUGAAGAGGUUCUUUUCCUAACCAUAUAUGUCUCCCCCAGAGAACCAAUAAAUAAUGUGGUCCCUCUGGCAGGGCUGUCUUUCCACAGCUGCCCCAGGAGCCCUCUGGCCCCCGCUCGCUGCUUCUCCUGUUUCAAUUUCCAUGUCCUCUCCGUUUUGUAACUCAAGGAGCUCCUCGGGCUCAGGAACAGCUGACAACCUGGCCAGCUCCCAGCCAUGGCAUCUGGGGAAGGGGCGAUGGGCACGGACUUGCAGGCAUGCUUUAGGGCACCCUGUCCCAGGCUGCUGUGAAUCACUGGAAGGUGAGCAAGGAUGUGUGCUGGGGCAUAGGGACCUCCGGUGCCAAACCCAGAUCUGGCAAGGCUGUGCAAGUGAGUAAGGAGAGACGGGGAGAUGAGGAAGAGCUUUUCUCAUGGGAGAAUCCCACAGACAGUCCUCUCAUCACAUCCUCAUCUUCAGCCUCCGUCCCCCCACCAGAAAUUCAGGGGGCACGCGUAGCUAGACUCUGCUCAUGUUGCUGAAUUAGAGAGCACAAAAGACCUUUGUAAACCCAUCACACUCCAGCCUAUUUUACAGAUGAAGAAAGUAAAGCCCAGAGGAGAAAUAACUUGUCCCAAGUCAGGUAUGGCUGGGGCUUAAACCCAGCUUCCCCUCAGAGCCCUGCUCACCAGAGAGCUCAGGGGCUGCCCGCUCUGCCCGCCCAGCCCCCCACCCUGUGCGUUUCCAUCCUGCCCCCAGGGAGGUGAGUGCACCCUGGGACAGUGGUAAGGGGGAGCUGGUGGAUGAAAGGCAACGAAACCCAUGGAGUUCAUUCCUCUAGCCCGGCCCCUCUACCCGGCUCUGCUGACCCCUCCUGCUGCACUCCCCUGACCCCUUCCCAAAGUGAUGGCUUUUCCUUCUGGGUCAAACUAAAUGCUGCGCCCUCCUAGCCCCGGGGGAGGGACAGGCUGAGUUCCAGGUUAGGGUGACUGGGAAGAACACUGCGCUGUCGCUGCCUCCAGCUGUUCUUUUAUUACCAAGCGCCUGGGAGAAGGGAGCCAAAAGGGCCCUCAGAAGCAAAGCAUGUCAUUUGGGGAGUGGCUGGCGAUGCCGGUGUUGAUGGCUGAGCGUCACAGCCGCAGCCAAAAAGCCCCUGGACUCUGAUUCCUCCCGUCGCUAAGAGCAGGAGUGGUAAUCUUGGAGAACGCCCUAAAGGUGACCGCAGGGCCCGAGCUGCUCCAGCUACGGGCUUUCAGGGCAUCUUCCCUCAGAGUUCUGGAACGCCAUGCACUUGUUUAUCUGCUCGGAGAGCGGCGUGCCCGCCCCCUCUGCCUACCUCUGCCUCUCCAUGGGCUCAGCAUGCCACUGGCAUUUAAUAAAUGUUAAAAAAUAGCAACGUCUGAACCACUGACCUUCGCAUAAAGUCCUUUGAGACCACUGCCAGAGCAUUUCCUCCUUUGUGGGGCCAGACAACCCCAAGGCCCAGAAGGAGAAAAGAGAAACACACCCUCAGCACGGGGGCCAGGGACACCGUGGGUCCAGGUCGCAAUAAUGGAAUGGGGCCAGAUGCUUUCACAGAGAUGCCUGGGCCGUGUGCCCUCUGCCAACCAAGGGCAGUGGCUUUGCGUCCCCUCCCUGCAUCCCUCCAGAUGUGUCUGUGCUGAUGAUCCAGAGUUUCAGACCCAAGCACCGGGCUGAGGUGGGGCACUUCCAACACCCUCUCUUCAUCACCUGCCCCUCCCUCGCAAAGUCCCUUCCACCAUCGUUCGGCUGAGACUUCCUUAUCUGGGGGUGAAGGAUGAGUGGGACUGGGGUUUUCCAGCCAGUCUGAGUCUUGGGUUUCAUCCUCUUCCUUUUAAAAAGUAUUAUGCAGGCUUUUCUUUACCCACAGGCCUGGUCAGCGGAGUCCUGGCAAGUCUUUUAUAGCCAGCUCUCUCCCUUCCUCUUUUUCUUCUUCCCUAAAGACUAUGGAGAGAUGAAUAUUGCAGAGGGGAGGGGACCUGAGGGCCUGGAACUGGAAGACAAGCUUUAUGUAAUUGAUUUAACCUCCCCAUUGUACCGAUUUGAUAGGUGAGCAGUUGAGAUUUGGAGAGAGUAAGUAAGGAGCCCAGGGUGGCAGCCGGCAGGACCAGGCACAUCCCAGGCCGAUCGCGUGGGACCCAGAGUGCUGUCCAGGGCUGGAUGCUGACCCCUCUGGGGCUCACGGCAGGACAGGCACUGCUCCAGAUGCUCGAUGCGCUUGACCCCUUUUCAUCUCAGUGACAGCCUUGUGAGAAGGUAGCCAUUGCUCUCCCCAUUUUACGGAUGCAGAAACUGAGGCUCAGAGAGUUAAGUACCUUCCUAAAAUUGUCACUUUGGUUUCUGAGCCUUUGUGACAGCAGCAACAGAUAUUUUCUGGGGAUCCUGGGCAUCAUGGAUGACUGGACUGUUGGCCUGACCAGCCAUCCCUGUUGCCCAGGACUUGCCCAGUCUUAGCAAUGAAAUUUCCACAUCCUGGGAAACCCCUUAAUCUGGGGCAAACUGGGUGUGUCGGUCGCCCAUUAAAUGUUCCUCCGUCUCUUCCUCUGCCUUUCCCACAGUGCUUCAGAUCUUCAGAGCAACCCACCGUUAACUUCAGCCUUUUCCCUGGGAAAGACAGAGGGGGCUCUGGAGGAGGGCAGGUCCUAAGUCACGGGGUUAUUUGAGGAUUCCAGGGAGAAAAGUUCUCAGCACAGCGCUGGGAAGGCAAUGGAUGCCCACAAAUGGCCACUCUUGUUCUUAGCCGGAGGACAAGAAGAAUGGACAGGGAGAUGGGGAGUGACAGCAGAAUUGGGGGAUCUGGUGCAGUGGAAGGGAGCCCCUGAGGGGACACCUCCGUCUGCUGAGUCCCUACGCAGGGCCAGGCACUUCCAUCCAUCACCCGAGUCCUUGAGGCUGCGACUAGGUCUGGGAGACAGUCUGCAGGGCGUGGGUCCAGGUGAGGAGACCCAGGCUUAAGAAGGCCAGUGCUUGCCCCAGCGAGGAUGUGGGGAGCGAGGACUUGAAUCCACUCCAUCGGUCUUCGAAGCCUUGCUCUUAAUUAUGAGACAGGGCUGCCUCUUAGGGGAAAAGGGAUGGGGAAGAAGGCGCUCGAAAGGGACCUGGAAAGAAUGCAAGGAGGUGGAAGGCAGGAAGAAGCAGAGAAAACGGAAUCUCUAUGGGAGCUGGGAGUGUGAAGAGGUUUCCGGCCCAGUUCGUGAGAGUGGUCUCGGUGCGCCGAGUGCGCUCCUGUGGGCCAGGCCUUCUCUGUGUUUUCCUGUGUAUUAACCCAUUCAAGUCUCCCAAAUCCCAUGAGGUGAGUAUCAGCAGCUGCAGCAGCAUCUGCGUUUUACAGAUGAGGAGAGUGGGGCCCAGAGGGGUAAAGAAACUUGCCCAAGGUCACACAGCUAGUAGUGAUGUAGCUAGGAUUCAAACUUGUCUGAUGGUUAAGGAUCAGAGGAGUUUUUCCUUGUCCUUUUCUAAAACAGUUAUGCAGCCUUUACUCGCAAGCUUGGCUUGGUGGCGUUGAGGUAGUCUUCUCUUUCAGUCUGCUUCUCCCCUUCCUCUUUUACGUUCCUCCCUAAAGGCUGGGAAAAGACUAUUUUAGCCCCUCCACCUCUUUCUUGGCUCAGGCCUGAUCAGGAGUAGGACCGGUGCCUGUGUGUUGGGGGCCGGGGGGUUGGUGAUUGGUAAUCUCAGGUGCGUGUGUGGGACUGUGUGUGUGUGUGUUUGUGUGUUGAGAUCAAAGUUGCUCCAGGAAAAUGUGUACACCCUGGAGCUUGAAGAUUACCUGGGCCAGCCCCCUCUCAGCUCAUCUCUAAACCUUCAUGGCGAAUGUGCUUUCAGGAGCCUGGGGAAAGAGCCAGACCCUGAGAUCACCUGCUGGCUUUGUCCCAGCUCGCUGCUCAGGAAGCAGGCUUUGUGCAUCCCUUGCACCUGUGUCUGAUGGGAAAUUGGAGGCGGGAGGAGCCGAUCAGGAAAGAACCUGCGCUGGGUGUGGGUUCCGCUGCCCAGGCGAGCUCCACCCCUGCCCCACCCCUCCCGACAAAAGGCAGCUGUGAAUCACCAGCUCCCGCACCACCUCACCUGACCCACCCUCUUCCCAGCACCACCCCUGCCAUCACCUCCUCACCUGGGCACAUUACUCACCUGUCUCUGUCUGUUCCCCUCGCUGAGUCUGCAGGGGGCUUGUUCUGCGACCAGCCCUGCUGUGAACAGCAUAAUUGCGUAUGGCCCACACACCAAUAGGUUGUAAUUGUUGAACAAUAAAAGUGCAAUACCAGCCACAGUUGAUGGUCCAACUCAUACAGAGAUACAGAAUCAACUUCUGUAUAGUCGGGAGUCUGUUUCAGGUAGCUUUCACACCGGAAGUUCUCUUUCUGCUAACAAGUUAGGGAAUUAGAUCUCUACCAGAGCUACAGAGAGAAGCCAUUUCUCGUUAGAAAGCAUUUUGCAGAGCAGCCAGUAGAGGAGCGUGAAGCGCCUUCAACUACAACGUUGCAUGGAUGUCCGUGUGAAUUAUGGUCCACAGUGGUUGGAGUAACACAACACAGAAAUCAGUCUUUACAGCUCAUAGUAAAUACACAAUAGAAUGGUAUUGAAUAAAUGAAUAAAAAUUCUAUUACAAUGUCUGAAGAUGAAGAGUGAGAAACUGAGAAUUCUCUGUAUUGGAAUAUCAAUACUGAUACAAAAAUGCAAUCCAGCCUGGCUGGAAAGAUGGAGCAGUUUGAGAUACAGAAAUACAUCUUGAAACCAGGGUGGUGAACAAAAAGAAUCAGCAACUGAGAUACAUCCCUUUGCAGUAGCUAGAUAAAGGCGGGGUUGCUGUGUAUUGCUGCACAGGUUGUAUACUGCACAACUCCAGCAGAUAUUCUUUACAGCGACUGCAAUAUGCAGAGUGUUUUGUAAAGUCAUGGCACUGGAUAAGGGUUUUCCCAACCCCUUAGUGAGGGAUAUGUGGAAAGUUACUAUCAGAACAAAACAGUGCAUGUUAUUUAGACUUUGUCUAUGCAUCCAUUUGUGCCUACCUUAACUGUUUAGCAAAUUGCAAACAUAAUUCAUUCCUGUGGAUUUAGUCAUUUAAAAAUUUUUUUAAUAUAUCAUGAAAUAAUUAUAGAUUUACAGGAAGUUGCAAAACAAUGGACGAGGAGGUCCCACAUACACUUCAUCCAGUUUUGCCCAAUAGUAACAACUUGCAGAGCUAGAUUUAAAAUCUAAACCAGAAGGUUGACAUUGGUGCAACCCACAGAGCAUAUUCAGAUCUCACCAGUUUUCCAGGCAGGUGUUUGUCUAUAUACUUCUGUGCAGUCCUAUCCCCUUAAACUGGCGGUAGAUGCUUGUAACCACCUCCACAGUUCAGAUACAGAACCGUUCCGUCCUAAGGAUGUCUCCCACCCCACGACACCCACCUCCAUCCCUAAGCCCUGGGAACCACUCAUCUGUUCUCUGGCUCCAUAAUUAUGUUAGCUUGAGAAUGGCACCUAAAUGGGAGUUCAAUCUUUUUUUUUCUGUCAAUCAUUUUUAAACUAAUUCUUUCACUGCAAAGUUCUGCCUUAAGGAUUUCUACACAAGCAUGUGUAAAGGAGAAGUACUCGAACUAGGGGGACCCAACAGAGAGCAAAGUCAAGAAUCUGGGGCCUGGAGGGGCCGGCAGGCAGGGAAACCAGGGAGCAUGUCUAUUUAGUGGGCACCGACUGUGUGCCAGGCACGGUUCAAAGACUGCACGCUGCAUCCAGAAAGGUGCUCGAGAGGCUGCCUCCUCUUCAGAGCUCUCUCCCACCCUCACCCGACACAGGCUCUUUCUGUCCUUUGCAGAAGCAUUUCCCAUUGGGUCACCAUCUCUUCCAGAGCAGGAGUAGCUCUUGCUACUCAGGGAGCUAGACAUGAACUAUGGGGCCUUUGGCCACCCCGCUGUUCCCCUUUGAUUUUCCCUUCCCUUGGGUGCUGAGCAUGCUCUGGCUGCCCAGGUGGUUGCAUGCCAUUCCUCUGCUUGUGGCCCUUGGAUUGCCCUUGCUGCCACCUCCCAGCCACUGGGACCAAAUGCUGUCUGGGAGCUGAAUGCAGGGAGCCUUCACCUCUGGCAUCGCCUUCUAUAGCCGCUAUGGCUGCCUCAGGUUCUCACCUCUGAAGACCUGGAGAGAAACACACACAACCAUUAUUGGCACCCUCAGCAUUCUCAGGAAUUAAAGAUUAAUGGAGAGGAACUCAUUGUUCUAAAUCCCCUGCUGGGUAUGAGAUUUAGGAAAUUCCCUUCUUGAGGUUAUUAAGUCUCAGUGGCCUGGUGGGGCUAGGUCUCCGGUGACACAACAUAAUUGGCCUAUUAUCUGGGAACUUUGGGCUGAAUUGGCACAAACAGACAUUGAGGGACUUUAGACCCAGGAAUGGAUUAUAGGGCCUGGUGAGUUCUUAUGUUGGGAGAUCUUUGAAAACAGAAGUGAACCUGAUGGGUCUGAGCAGUUAGGCGCGUCUUGCCUGAAGUCAAGGCAGAAGCUAAAUAUCGCCUUAGAGCUCUCGUUGCACUUUGAUUUUGAGAAAUCGCCACCUCUAUUUGUCAAUGGACCUAUGGCCUCAUGCAGAGAAGACACAAUCUUGGUGUUUCAGCUUUGCCGAAACACCAGUGAAUACACUAUAGCUAAUCUAUAGGCAGAAUCCUCCAGUAUGAUAUUCCAACGGUAUACUAGAUCGGAUGCUUACAACCGUUUUGAAAUUGGGAUACCUGUCAUUGUUUGAUCAGCAUCGUGGCCAAGUACCUCAGGUUGCAUAACAUGUCUACUUCACUUAUUGAUUGUGUUGGGAAGAUUUUGUUAGACCACUUAAGAAAGUGGGAGGCCUCUUGAAAAUCACAACAGGAGACUGUCUACAUUUAACCAUUCUUUCUAGGAUUAUCUUUUAGAAAGAUAAUGUGGCCCUUGGAUUCUUUCUAGGUUAGAACCUGAGAUCAUAAAACCAGAAGUCAGAAAGACUGAUGUUUGAGUUCAUGGGAGCUCAUAUAAGGAGAGAAACAAGUCAUUGGGUCAUUGUCACUGGGCACAUAAAAACUGUGUCAUUUCAUUCACCCCAAAUAUGGGCAGUUUGGUGACUUUAGAAAUUUACUGGUGACUCAUUCAACCUUUGCUCUUCAACCCUUUGCCUUGGAAACCCCCUCUUUCUUGGGCCCCUCCUUGUUAAUAUAGCCUAAAGUUCUUACGAGUCCUUCAAGGGAAGAAAUGGAUAGAUUCCCUUUAUGUGGAUUCCAGAUCAAAGCAAACAACUCGAAAACGAGAUCUGAAACCCGCUGACCCUAAAUGAAGCACUGGGAAUAUUCUGUUUACAAAUGAGAGCCCGUGAUGCCCUGGAGAUGUGAUUUUUCCAUAAAGGGAAGUCCUCAGAUUUAUUGCACAGACUUACUGUCCACCCUUUUCUCUUUGUAGCAAGUAUCCUUCUGUGAGAGGCACAUUAAAGACCCCCGCUCUCCUAUCUACAAUCCUAAAAUCCAGAAAGCUACAAAAACCAAAAGUGUUUUGUAUACCUGGUGCCAUUUACCAGCAAAAUCUGAUCUGAACUGACUUGAAAUUAUUUAUAUGUUUAAUUUAUCUCACCUACUAUGAAUCUUCAUGUUUCACUGCAGAAAACAUUAUGUUUGAACAUGGGGCAGUGUCCCAGGUCCCUGUGAGUGAUGUUAACUCUAUGUGGUAUAUGAGCCACAUUAUCUUUCUAAAAGUCUGAAAAAUUCUGAAUUCCGUAACACAGCUGCCCCAAGGGUUUUGAAUACGGGAUUGUGGACCUGGAGCACAGCGCUUUUUUUUUUUUCCCGUACUACACAAAUGUCAGAUGCCUUUCUUGAUAGACGAUGGGACCCAACCAGAUGGCCCAGCUUGUUAGGCCUUUAGUCCCCUGUCACUGACAAAGUCUAAGGCCACAUGAUCCCAUGUUAAACCCCAGACUCCAACGCUUCCUCUGCCCUGCCUGGCAUCCAAGCGCUGGUAGCUCAGCCUUUUCGGCUGGCUGGGCCCAGAGGUGACCACAGCACCGUGGGCCUGCACUUCCUGGAUUCCUUUUCCUACCCCUCAUGUGGUUUCUCCAUGUGGGAGAGGGAGAGUGGGUGGCCAGUGCUUGGCUCAUUGCUCCCAAGGCUUCCAGAGAGGUGUGUAAGACCUUAUGAUAAAUCCACUGAGUCAUUCACCCAUUCAUUAGUCAAUGUAUUCCUUCACUCAGUUAACGCUUCUUGUGCGCCUUUCGUGAUUUAGGUAUGCUUUAUUGAGAUCCUCAUGCAAAGAGAGCUGGGGAAGCUUGGACUCAGGAUUUUCUCAGACAAUGUUUCACAGAAUCCAAGAGAUGUUAGUGGAUUUUCCAUCUUCCAAUCUUUCCAAAAAAGAUUUCCAUGAUCAAAUAAGUCUAGAAAAUAAUGAGUUAAACAGGUUUCUUCGCUACAGCACUUUUCUGAGUCCUUGAUAAAGUAACGUGCGUGGCAAACUUCCAAAAGGGGGGGUUAACAUUGACCAGGGAGCACUUGCCCCUGGACCUCCAGGUCCCAAAUGGUUUCUGUAUCCCAUGGAGGCUGUAGGAGGAAUGAUGUGGAAGGUGACAGCUGAAUGGCUCCACAAAGCAAUAGGAAAAUGUCUAUCACGCUGUCUGUGUUUGCAGGGGCUGUAGGCUACUGUCACCUCUUCCAAGUACUCUGAAACAAUACAAACGUGCAGGUGGCCACCUGGGGCUAGUGGAGCAAAGAGAAUGCUCUUCUGGGGUCAUCCAACCUUGAAAAGUGAUAGCCCUUUCAGACCAAUUUCCAACUGAAUCUCUUUGAAUUUCUUUUACUCCUUGUGUAGCUUGCCAUCCACGGUGUUGUGCUGGGCCCAGCAGAGGACAUUAUUGCCCUUUGACCUGUUAGCAUGUUAAGAACCAAGAUUUCUCAUGAGCCAAGAAGACAGGGAAGACUGGAGGAGUCCCAUUUUCAUGACUGGUCUCACAGUUGAGGUAUGGUCUCUCCUAGGAAAACCCAUAAAUACACUCGAGUGUAGGGUUUUAAAACACUUUCCCGCAGUUGGAAUGGCAGUUUUACCUAUGGAGACUCAACACGACUUUAUGACUAACUCAUGGAACAACGUUUUGCUGGAGAUAAGACACAGCCUUGAGGUAGGUUGGGGCAGAGGGGACUCUUCAGUAUUUGCUUUCUUAAAAAGGAUCUGAGUUCAAUUCAGAAACUGAAUAAUUAUUAUUCCUGCCACUGACUUGCUCUCUGACAGGAAUUAUAUUACUUUAUUUCUAUUUGACUCUGUUGUGCCUCAGUUUCCCCAGAGGAGAAUGGGAAUUUGUGAGUAUGAAGAAAUGCCUGUGAACUUGGGAAUACUCCUGGAGUGGAAAAUUGUAGGUACUAUGAAAUGACUUUAUUUUUUUCAGUGAUCACUGUGUAGUGAGCACUCAACAAAGAUAUGACUAGGAUGUAAGAACGAUGAUCCGUGAAUCCUCAGUGGUCAGUGGAGGUGCUCAGUACUUGUUGAAUGCGUAAGUGACUGAUUAAUGACCAUCAGAGGAAAGAAGGAGGAAGGAAGGAGGGAAGAAGGGAGGAAGGAAGCAAGGUAGGAAGAGAAGGAAGGGAGGGAGGGAGAUAGGGAGGGAGGAAGAAGGGAAGGAGGGAAGAGAGGUGGGACGGAGGAAGGAAACUUCUUCUGAGCUAACAGGUGACAAAGUGUCACCUUUGUUCUUUUCUUGUCAUGGAACCCAGGAGAUGUGUAGAACUUUUUUCUUCACAAUUCUUUCCAAAUACAUAAAAUAUUUUUCAAUAUUCCAAAUUUCCUCAGAUGUUUCUUUUCCUCCUCUUAUGCGAGUGAGUGAAUCAUUCAUUGCUCAGGACUUUUGCUGAACAAGCAUGGUUCUCUACUUUUUAAAACCUGUGUCCUUUAGCAGUGAGGUAAGCCCUGGAUGGCCACUUGCACUUUUAUAUUGUUUCAGAGAAGUUGGAAGAGAUGACAAUAGCCUACAGCCCCUGCAAACACAGACAGAGUGUGGUAGAAAUUUUCCCAUUGCUUUAUGGAGUCAUUCAGCUCUGUCACCUUUCACAUAAUUCCUCCUACAGCCUCCAUGGAAUACAGCUACCUAGAUCUGCAUGCUGCUAAUAUUUAAAUUGCUUGAUCCUUUCAAAAUAGUCUAUGCAAACCCAAGAGGCCCUCGGCCCACCAGACAUUUUUCUUCCCUAAUAGUUGAACAGUUCACUGUGCUCCUGGACUUUCCCCCUCACACUGCCCACUUUUCCUUCUCCUUGACGGGCUGUGGCCGGCAAUGCCAGGGCGCAUGCCCCAGGAGAAAGAACACAGGACUUGGAGCCAGGAGACCAGGGUUUGAGUCCCAGCCUAGCUACUCAUCCAUCAUGGGGUCUUGGGCAAAUCUCUCAGCUUUUCUAGCCUUACGUCACCCCACAGGGCUGUCCUGGAAUGCAAUGAGCUCAGUGUGAAAUUGUUACCGAAUCAGGUUUUGCCUGCUGCACGAUUAUGUCAAUCACCGAGAUGACAAGUUUGCAAAGAGAAAGGAUUUAAUCACAAAGUGGCCAAGCAAGAAGGUGGGAGAAUCAAUCUCAGAUCUGCCUCCUUGAGAAGGGGAACUCAGGGAUAUUUAUGGGGUAGGGGGCAAGGUGGUCUGCAGUGUGCGAUUAGAUGAUUGGAGGUGAGGAGAAAUGAGGCAAUUGACGAUCCGUGCAGGAGUAGUCUUGCUUCAUGCCUCUUCACAGGACCCAUGUUCACAAAAUGGUGGCCUUACCAUGAUCUGUGGGUGGAGUUUUUAGUCCCUUGACAUGAAAAAGAUCAAUUGUCAGUAUUUGCAUAGGCCCAGUUGAUGGGUUGGUGGUCUAAACCGGCCUGAACUGGACGAGAGUGUCCAGUUCCAGAAAAACCACACUUAAUUACUCUGUUGAUAAGAUGGGAUCAGUUGAACUGGUCCUGCGGGGCCUGAGGUUAAAAAAUGCUCUGCUUUUCCCUGGUAGAAUUCUGCAGGAAGCCCAGGGCAGGGGGAAGCAGGGCUGGGUCUACACUGCUGCUACCUAGCCCCCAUCUCCAGGGGUUCCCAAGCUGCCGGGGCCGAGGACGCAUUGUGAGCAGCCUGAGCCAGCCAGGGCCAUGUCUUUUGUCACAACUCCUGCUCUAAUUAAAAACAUGGUUGAUGACAUCCAGGAGUCUUUUGACUGGUGCAUAAUAAUAAUAAUAAUCAAAAAAUUUCAAACCGUGAGCCAGGAGGUCUGAGUUCUGGACUGGACUCUGAACUAUGUUAGCCCCAAUUCUCUGAAUUUCAGUUUCCCCAUUAGGAAACUCAAGGACCACACAUUCAUUUUUAACAUUGCGUCUUUGCACAUUUACUAAGCACUGUUUUUAAUACUUAUUGUGUAAUAGCUGUAUGCAGUAGGUACAACUGCAAUGCUCAUUUUAUGGAGUAAGAAACCAAGGCUCACACUGGGUCACAGAGGCAGUAAGUAGCAGAUCUGGAUCCAGUCCCACAGUCUCAGGCCAAUGGGGUGUGGCUGCACCCCACCCUGCCUUGAUUCAAUGACUUCUCAGGACAGACUGACCCCCAGGGCAGGGACUCCUCACCCUCAGAGCUCUGACUUUAGGAAGCAAAACAAGGAACACCCUUCUCUAGUAAUUUCAUGGGAUAUUCCUGUUCCUGGCCUGGUCUAGCCGCCUGGUCUAUGUCAGUCAGCUAUGAGGAUCCCCAAAUACAGACUGGGGUAAAAAGACAACCUUCUGUCUUCUGUUUUACUCCUGAGUAUAAGAAUGAGCGUGGAUUAGAAAGAGAAAGACAGACAAAAGCUUGUGUUGAUUUUAUAAACCACCAACUCAUGAACCACUCAGCUGUCUUCCCGUCGCUGCCCAUAAAGAACUGAUCAUCUGGAACAAUAAAAUACAGGCAUUUAAAGAGACAGACACCAGACGACUGUUCAGAGCUGCUGUGAAGGAAGAUGCCGCUGCCUUUGAAGCCUGCGCCCCAAUUUUGCUUUCUGAGGUGCGUGCGCGGCUCCUCUUGACGUCAGCUCGGCGUGAGCCUCCGAGGGUGGAUUCCUGGCUCAGAAGAAGAAAUGAAACCGGUGAUGAGGGCGUGCCUUGUGCAACAACAACUGAGCUAUUGUCCUGUCCCCCACCCACACUCACCCUUUCCUUCUCUACUGGACCCCUGCUCACCUGGAGAUAAGGCAGCACAGAGGUUUUCCCUGGAGGUUGGGAGGGGCCUCCUCAGCAGUCAGGAGCAGCCUACAGGCUGGCAACUGGUCCUGCUUAGCCCCGAGGCCCACUUUGGGUGCAGGGGCUUCUCCUGUUUCAAAAAGCAACUCUUGCUGGAACAAAGCCCAGAGAAGAAAUGAGUUCAGAAGGAGGGACUCAUUUCCAGCGAGGUGCCUUCUAAAAAAAGGCUUCCGAUUCAGACUCUGACCUCUCCUGUCCCUCCAGCGGCGGGGAGCCCGUUGCAAUCCAAGGGGUCCUAAACCUGGACCCAGCCUCCAGGUGCCUUGUCUUCCUCUGGCCCGGGGAAUUUUUGUCAGGGGUGCUUUCGCUUGUUGUUUCCAAACCACAGCAUCUUUUCCUCACACUCCCUCCCUUCCUGUAGCAGGAAAGGACUCCAAAUCACAAUGACGCCAGCCAUGUAUACUGAUCCCAAUUCGUCAUCAGGAACUUCUGAGCGCAGGAUGGAAAUCCAGAGGGAGGCUUGAGCGCCCCUCAACCGAGAGUCCCUGAAGAGGGGCGCGGCCUUCGGGGCCAAGUCCAGGGCCAGCGGAGUGUUUCCUUCCGCAGAGUUGGGGUACCGUAAAAUGAGACCCCUAAUCUCAUCCAGGGCUUUUUUUCUUCUGAUUACCCCC
Equus caballus (horse) is the source of this 20891-nucleotide long non-coding RNA. NCBI's taxonomy places the organism in Eukaryota, Metazoa, Chordata, Mammalia, Perissodactyla, Equidae. The record is from Ensembl.